UACGUAGGGUCCGAGCGUGUCCGGAAUUACUGGGCGUAAAGAGCUCGUAGGUGGUUUGUCGCGUUGUUCGUGAAAACUCACAGCUCAACUGUGGGCGUGCGGGCGAUACGGGGCAGACUAGAGUACUGCAGGGGAGACUGGAAUUCCUGGUGUAGCGGUGGGAAUGCGCAGAUAUCAGGAGGAACACCGGUGGCGAAGGCGGGUCUCUGGGCCGAUACUGACUGAGGAGCGAAAGCGUGGGGGAGCGA
Molecule: ribosomal RNA, 248 nt
Filed under: uncultured bacterium
Lineage: Bacteria
Description: partial 16S ribosomal RNA
Rfam family: Bacterial small subunit ribosomal RNA
Source: RNAcentral